Molecule: unclassified non-coding RNA, 253 nt
Filed under: plant metagenome
Description: partial contains small subunit ribosomal RNA, internal transcribed spacer 1, and 5.8S ribosomal RNA
Source: RNAcentral
UUUCCGUAGGUGAACCUGAGGAAGGAUCAUUAACGAGUUAGGGUCUUUUAGGCCCGACCUCCCAACCCUAUGUUUAUUGAACCUCUGUUGCUUCGGCGGACCCGUCUCACGGCCGCCGGAGGACCGCUGCAAGGCGUCCUCUGGCCAGCGUCCGCCGAUGGCCAACCCACUAAACUCUGAAUGAAUCGUGUCAUAUGUCUAAGUCUAUGAUUAAAUUAAAGCAAAACUUUCAACAACGGAUCUCUUGGUUCUG